UCAAGCGCGAAAAGGGCGUUUGGUGAAUGCCUUGGCAGUAAGAGGCGAUGAAAGACGUGAUACUCUGCGAUAAGCCAUGAGGAGCUGAGAAUAAGCUUUGAUCCAUGGAUCUCUGAAUGGGGCAACCCACCUAAUACUGUGUUAUUACUAUCCACGAGGCCUUCGGGUCGAAAUGGCUGGCUAAUAAUGCGGUAAACUAGGUACUUCUAACCUGAAUACAUAGGGUUAAAAGAGCAAACCCGGGGAACUGAAACAUCUAAGUACCCGGAGGAAAGGAAAUCAAUAGAUACUCCCAUAGUAGCGGCGAGCGAAAUGGGACCAGCCGAGCCAUGAUUGUGAAUAGAAUUUGCUGGGAAGCAAAACCAUAGUGGGUGACAGUCCCGUAUAUGAAGCAUGAAUGGACGUAUUAAGUAGGGCGGAACACGUGAAAUUCUGUCUGAACAUCGGAGGACCACCUUCGAAGGCUAAGUACUCCUUACUGACCGAUAGUGAACCAGUACCGUGAGGGAAAGGUGAAAAGCACCCCGACGAGGGGAGUGAAACAGUACCUGAAACCGAACGCCUACAAUCAGUUGGAGGGCCCUUGCGGCCUGACAGCGUACCUUUUGUAUAAUGGGUCAUCGACUUGGUCUAUCUAGCAAGCUUAAGCCGUUAGGUGUAGGCGCAGCGAAAGCGAGUCUUAAUAGGGCGAAUGAGUUAGGUGGAUCAGACCCGAAACCGAGUGAUCUAGGCAUGUCCAGGAUGAAGGUUAGGUAACACUAACUGGAGGUCCGAACCCACAUCUGUUGAAAAAGAUCGGGAUGAGGUGUGCCUAGGGGUGAAAGGCCAAUCAAACUCGGAGAUAGCUGGUUCUCUGCGAAAUCUAUUUAGGUAGAGCGUCAUCCGAAUACCCCGGGGGGUAGAGCACUGGAUGGGCAAUGGGGGCUUACCGCCUUACUGACCCUAACCAAACUCCGAAUACCCGGGAGUACUAGAUGGCAGACACACUGUGGAUGCUAACGUCCAUAGUGAAGAGGGAAACAACCCUAACCUACAGCUAAGGCCCCUAAUUCAUGGCUAAGUGGGAAAGCAGGUGGGACGACCAAAACAACCAGGAAGUUGGCUUAGAAGCAGCCAUCUUUUAAAGAUAGCGUAACAGCUCACUGGUCUAAAUAAGUUGUCCUGCGGCGAAGAUGUAACGGGGCUCAAGCCAUGAGCCGAAGCUUAGGAUGCACAUAGUGCAUGGUAGCAGAGCGUAGUGUGACAUAAUUCCAUGCGUCCUUACCAUCCUUCGGGGUGGAUUGGACGCAAGGAAUUUUCGAUGAAGCCGGCCUGUGAGGGAUCCGGUGGAGAGAUCACUAGUGAGAAUGAUGACAUGAGUAGCGACAAACAGGGUGAGAGACCCUGUCGCCGAAAGUCCAAGGGUUCCUGCUUAAAGCUAAUCUGAGCAGGGUAAGCCGACCCCUAAGGCGAGGCCGAAAGGCGUAGUCGAUGGGAACCAGGUUAAUAUUCCUGGGCCAGGUGGUAGUGACGGAUCUCGAGGGUAGUUCAUCCUUAUUGGAUUGAAUGGGCUGCUUAGAGGUUCCAGGAAAUAGCUCCACCAUGAGAUCGUACCCUAAACCGACACAGGUGGACUGGUAGAGAAUACCAAGGCGCUUGAGAGAAUGAUGUUGAAGGAACUCGGCAAAAUGCUUCCGUAACUUCGGGAUAAGGAAGACCCUUUUGUAGGCAACUAUAGAAGGGUGGCACAAGCCAGGGAGAAGCGACUGUUUAUCAAAAACACAGGGCUCUGCUAACACGUAAGUGGAUGUAUAGGGUCUGACGCCUGCCCGGUGCUGGAAGGUUAAUGCGGUUGGUGCAAGCUAACUUCUGAAGCCCCAGUAAACGGCGGCCGUAACUAUAACGGUCCUAAGGUAGCGAAAUUCCUUGUCGGGUAAGUUCCGACCUGCACGAAUGGCGUAACGAUUUCUCCGCUGUCUCCAACAUCAACUCAGUGAAAUUGAAUUCUCCGUGAAGAUGCGGAGUUCGCGUAGUUAGACGGAAAGACCCCGUGCACCUUUACUGCAACUUUACAUUGGUGUUAGGAAAAACAUAUUUAGC
This 2079-nucleotide ribosomal RNA is filed under the name marine metagenome. RNAcentral's name for it is "bacterial LSU rRNA". It matches the Rfam family "Bacterial large subunit ribosomal RNA", at positions 1 to 2142 of the family's 2925-position model. The record is from RNAcentral.